This 65-nucleotide transfer RNA is filed under the name Lyropaeus ritsemae. Its description in RNAcentral is "tRNA-Phe". The record is from RNAcentral. Lineage: Eukaryota; Metazoa; Arthropoda; Insecta; Coleoptera; Lycidae.
UAUUUUAAUAGCUUAUAAAGAGUGCAGUGUUGAAGGUACUGAGGAGAUUAAAUUUCUUAAAAUAC